This 264-nucleotide long non-coding RNA is filed under the name Monodelphis domestica (gray short-tailed opossum). Its description in RNAcentral is "lncRNA (ENSMODG00000050113.1)". The record is from RNAcentral. Lineage: Eukaryota; Metazoa; Chordata; Mammalia; Didelphimorphia; Didelphidae.
GGUCAAAAGCCCAGAGCCUCAUCAGCAUCCCAGAGUCCAGUCUUUCAUCAUCCCAAUAGCUGGUUGCUGAAACUUGAGGUUCUACAGUAGAAGGAAUGCUGAGUUUAAAGUCUAGAGAUGUGAUUGAGUUCCAGUUUUACCUAUUACUGCCACUAUGACCUUGAGUACGCCAUCUUUGAGAGCCCCAGGAGUAAUGAUGACACAUGAAGAUAAAGACAAGAGAAAUAGCCAGCCCUGAUCAAAUACAUAUGAAGAAAUGCAUUC